AAUGUUUUUAGUAUUUAUCGAAAUUUUGUUUACAAGAUUAUAUAAUGAGAAUUAUGGCUUGAAAUUUAUUAUUGAAGAGGAGCGCAGUGCUGCUGCUGAGAUUCACAACAGCAGCAUUGGAUCUUGCAUUGCUGGCUAUAGCAAACCCACUGCACUUCACACUAAUCCUCCAUGGAACACCAUGGACUCAUAUGCAAGAGGCGGAGGACUAUGCUCCUCAUCAGCUAGAUUUCUGAAGACUCUCCUAUGCCCAAUCCUCUGUGCG
RNAcentral lists this long non-coding RNA (265 nucleotides) under Selaginella moellendorffii. RNAcentral's name for it is "long non-coding RNA (SMOE_LNC001016)". Lineage: Eukaryota; Viridiplantae; Streptophyta; Lycopodiopsida; Selaginellales; Selaginellaceae. The record is from RNAcentral.